CAGUCGAACGGUAGAGGAGCAAUCCUCGAGAGUGGCGAACGGGUGAGUAAUACAUCGGAACGUGCCCAGUCGUGGGGGAUAACGUAGCGAAAGCUACGCUAAUACCGCAUACGACCCGAGGGUGAAAGCGGGGGACUCGCAAGAGCCUCGCGCGAUUGGAGCGGCCGAUGGCAGAUUAGGUAGUUGGUGGGGUAAAGGCCCACCAAGCCUGCGAUCUGUAGCUGGUCUGAGAGGACGACCAGCCACGCUGGGACUGAGACACGGCCCAGACUCCUACGGGAGGCAGCAGUGGGGAAUUUUGGACAAUGGGCGAAAGCCUGAUCCAGCCAUACCGCGUGCGGGAAGAAGGCCUUCGGGUUGUAAACCGCUUUUGUCAGGGAAGAAAUACUUCGGGCUAAUACCCUGGGGUGAUGACGGUACCUGAAGAAUAAGCACCGGCUAACUACGUGCCAGCAGCCGCGGUAAUACGUAGGGUGCAAGCGUUAAUCGGAAUUACUGGGCGUAAAGCGUGCGCAGGCGGUUCUAUAAGACAGAUGUGAAAUCCCCGGGCUCAACCUGNGAACUGCAUUUGUGACUGUAGAGCUAGAGUA
This 590-nucleotide ribosomal RNA is filed under the name uncultured bacterium. Its description in RNAcentral is "bacterial SSU rRNA". It matches the Rfam family "Bacterial small subunit ribosomal RNA", at positions 59 to 648 of the family's 1533-position model. The record is from RNAcentral.